Molecule: long non-coding RNA, 1252 nt
Organism: Neofelis nebulosa (Clouded leopard)
Lineage: Eukaryota; Metazoa; Chordata; Mammalia; Carnivora; Felidae
Exons: 2
Source: RefSeq, a predicted model, not a curated record
GUGUAUGUGUGUGUGUGUGUGUGUGUGUAUGGUACAACUAGGGAAAGACAGCACUCGAUGACUGGUAGAAAUGGACGCCACUGAGCCACUGCACAGUUGGCUUCAGUACCGGAAACCCAACCAAGUUGUGGCUUCCCAGUUUGCGCUUGUGAAUGUUGGUGCCCCUUUUCAACUCCCCAGGCAAGGCUGCAAACAUAUAGUCUAGAGUCUCUCUCAUUUUGACUUUGUAGCAAUGCCCUUCUAAUCAAUGCCUACCGAUUCUCCUCCUGCCUGCCCCCUACCUCAAGAAAUGAGAGGACUACUGAGAGCAUCAGCCCCAAAGAUUUGGUGUUCGGCUCAAAUUCAUGAUCUACCUUCUCCAAGUGUCAGCUUUCUCCUCUCUGAUGAUGACCUACUAUGCACCAUUUUGACUGUCUAUGGACUUACAGAACUUACCUCUCCAAGCGGGUGCUCUUCUGGGGUAUUGUGAUCAAGUAUGCAUUGAUCUCACCCAGAACCUUCCCUCUUUUGCAUCAUGUUUUUUCCAGUCCAAGGACGCCUUCACCCUGCCUCAUGAGGCAGCUUCUCUUUGGCACCACUCCUCCCUUCAGCCACGAUGUCGGAGUUCCUGAGCCCUGCCUCGUGUGCAUGAGGUCUGACCGGUGGGGAGGCGGGUAGAGUGAACGCUGAACCCCAGGUGUCACGGGGCAUGGCUCGCUGUGCUGCAAGAGUGCGUGGGGGUGGAAAUGCAAUCUCAUUGAAAAAUUAACUGAAACAGCUGCUGGCAAGCUCCGCUACAAAGUAACUUCAUGCAUUUCAGUCUUCAAAAUGACUUUUGGACAAUCUUUUGUUUAUCUCCAGCAUUGCUCUUCUCCAUUAGCAGAAAGAUACACACGCAUUAGCUUGUGUGUAUCUACAGGGACGCCUCCCUCUCUCUCCCCCUACUCUUUCCACCCUCCCCACCCCCAAAAGCUGAUGUGUUAAUUAGUGGGGAUGGUGCAUUGUUCAAACUGUCACAAUGUGUGAAGAAGCCAGACUGAAGAUGAGGUAGGCCAUCAGCAUGAAUUCCGUUCUCCAGGAAAGAUGGGAAAUUCUUGCGUGCCGGAGAGAGUAAUCACUUUAUUUCAGUCUCAGCUGCAUACCGGGUUUCGUCGGCUACUGUAAGGUUGAGUAAUCCCAGAUUGCUGGGGCUGCUCUCCCAUGCAUUAAAUGAGAGAAUAUGCAAAUACUAGGUAACCUGUAAGUGCUGAAUAAAGGUUAUCCUUUUAUCCUA